Molecule: long non-coding RNA, 2605 nt
Organism: Columba livia (rock pigeon)
Lineage: Eukaryota; Metazoa; Chordata; Aves; Columbiformes; Columbidae
Exons: 4
Source: RefSeq, a predicted model, not a curated record
AAAGAGGGCGGUUGUUGCUCCAUGUGCUUAAGAGCAGCCCUGCCACAGACGUACUUUGGUAAUUGCUCCCGCUGCCCACACCAGACACAAACGGCUUCUGGGCCAAGUAGCUGAAUAAGACCCAGCGAUAUAUUUUGAGGGUUUUCCCUUUUCAAGGGAAAACUUUAGUCACUUGGAUAAAUUUUCCACACACUUUGCAAGUGUUUCAUUCAAUUGGAUGUCAAAAUUAUUCAGUGUCUCUUUGCCAGCCUUCUGCCUAGCGUGUGGAGACUUGUUUCUCCCAGCAGUACCAAGGGGAAGCAUCGGAGCUGCUAGGGUUUUGAAGGGUCUGCAGGAGGAUGCCCUUCCAGUCCCCUGUGAGAGGGCAAUGGAAGCAUUAAUAGUCACGCUGCUGAACUAGAGUAGUUAUGUAUUUGAUCCACUGGGCUCACACUGCGGGAAACAUCCUUGCCCUGAACGCUCUUGCUUCUGACCAGAAGUGGGAUGGAUGUCACAGUUCACCCCCUGUUGGAACUACCUGCGUGGCUCAGACUCAUAGGAGGAAAUGCUGGCUAUCCAGGGAUACUGUUCCUCUUGAGGCUGAAUAAGUGUGGGACGAAACUUUGUGAAGAUGUCCUCAAGCUGAUGUAUAAGGAACCAGAAUUUCAAUCAACAUCCAAGCUUCAUUUUUCUAUUCAGAAAACAAUGUAUUGAUUUCUCCUUGCUUCCUAGAAAAGCAUUUGAUCAGAAAUGCCAAGAUAGCAUCAAUAAAAAUUAUUCAAAGGUAUGAUAAUGCAAUAUUCAACGCCUCUUAACUGCCAAGUACAGACAGACUGGUUCAGGUGAGCCCAAGUCAUUACUUACAGUUCUGAAAUGAGGUAAACAACAUAAAAAAUCCCAGCACAUACACACACACAGAAACAUUCCUUAUGCCUCAAAUCAGGCUCUACAUGAGGCUUAGAUAUCAACAUGUCACUGGCCACUCUUGGUGAGGGCUGUUUUAAAAUGUAAUACAUUCCUCAUGAGAACAAUAAUUACCUUUACCUUCAUUUGUGAGCAAGGCUUUAAUACCUCACUUGAUCUUAUCUUACCAGAUGAGUGAUAGGCCUAUCAUGCUCAUGAAUGAAAGGCAAUAACUCACUCCUUACUACUAAGAUAUCUUAUGAGUCCUCAUCUUAUGAGAACCACACACUUCACUAAGCCAAGCAAUGAGCUAGGUAGUCUAGAAAACCUGCAGAAUCUUUGUGUAGCUUGUCUCUUCAUCAUCCUUUUCCAUUUAAUCAAUUCUGCCUGUUAAGUCUAGUACAGCAUGUUCAGCCUCAGCUGACUGAAGGGUUGCAGCCCACUCCCAGCAGGCAAAAUUUUAUGAACUGUUGAUUCAGGAGUUCAUUCCUGUAUUGUGGAACUCCUUGAAGCCCUGAAUUUAAAUUGGACAUCUGAAAAAGGGUGCACUGACUUGAAAAUCAGUUUGACUUUUCUAGAAAGAGCAGAUCAAAAGUUUCGGCAACAACUGGAUGGAAAAACUAAUUCAAGGAAGGCCUCAGGUUCUCCCUGUCGUCGUUAUAACGAUCCUGUUGUCGUUAUAAUUGUCUUAAGUUCAUAGCUAUAGAAUAUUACUCACUUAUCUUCCUGUGCAAAUCUCUUGCAGGAGCAGACUGGCUGCACGCAUUUAAUAUAGGCAUGUAUUAAAGCCUGUACAUUAGCAAAAGGUAUCAGUGGCUAACAGCUAGGAAUAAUAAAGGUUAUCUUUGAGGCCUGAACUGCCUAGGAAAUAGAGACAUGCAGGAUAGUUGACUCCAAUUUCUCAUCUUGUUUCUACCUGGUUACUGAGCCAGCUCUUCCCCUACCUGAGAAGGGUACAGGGCUGACAGAGGUCCCUGCAGGUGCUGUAGCAAAGCUGUGACAGCACAGCUUGCAGGUCUGAGGGCAGAGCCCUGGAGGUGGGUGGAUGUGCCAGAGCUGGGCACAAGCUCCCGUGGCCCCUCUGCAACACAGCACCACCCCCAGUCCGGGCAGCACAACGUACGGUGUGAGGGGCAACAGCCUCCCAUGCCAACAGUGACACAUUUGGGUUUGAAAGGGAGGAGGAAAGGACAAGGGCUGACAUUUCUCGCAUUUUGCCAACCUGGGUUUUACUCACACUUUUGCCAAUUCAUGCAUCAAUUGCUGCCUUAUGUUUUACAUACCAUGCAAUGUUGAAGAGCUCUGGAUGGUAAGGUAACUGGAUUCGCAUUUCUGUGAUUCGAUAUCCAGGUCUCCAAUUUUUAGGAUCAGGCGUUUUCCUGGAGGCACUUGGAUUUUCUUUUCACAUAAAGUGUAGUUUGGGUACGUCCCAGGAUAGUUCUUGGAUGCCAGGGUCCCACUGUCUUGAUACAUCACCGUGUGCCCACAUCCAUCCCCUGCAGCAGGAGAAGAAACAAGGACGAGAAAUGAAAUGUAUUCCUCAAUUAAAAAUGUGUAAGAAAAUAUUAGCCACAUAAUCAUGUCUCAUGUGUGCUUCUAUCUUUUAAAAAAGUAUUUUGUCAUACUCCACCUUGGUUAUGCUGUUGCUGGAACAUAGGUAACUAAUGUAAAUACAGUCAUAUUUCUCUUGUGAAGCAAUAUAAAGGAGGGUUGGAAACAGUAA